UAGCCCUGGAUCAAGGCCAGCAGCUUCCUGACGCUGGUGGCUUCAAGCAGGAGACUAAAGAGAUGUCUUUCUGUGGUCUGUUGAUCAUUUCAGAUCUUGGGUAGUGAAAAGGUCAAUACAUUAGAAAAAAACAGCU
Molecule: small nucleolar RNA, 136 nt
Organism: Cavia aperea (Brazilian guinea pig)
Lineage: Eukaryota; Metazoa; Chordata; Mammalia; Rodentia; Caviidae
Source: Ensembl